CGGGGAUUUGUCUCGAGAGUUUGUUUCGAGAAAGGUCCAAUGACUCAAGUGCUUUGAGAUUCCCUAACGAUGAUGGGAUGUGACCAUUGAGAAAAUUGUUGGAAAGGUUCAGUCCCUGUAGUCCCUUGAGAUCACCUAUGGCACUUGGGAUCUCUCCUUCGAAAAAAUUGCUGGAGAAGUCGAUGACCUUGAAGACUUCUGAUAUCUUUGGGUAAUACAAUUCAAGCCCUUUGUAAAUCAUUGUCAUGGAGAAAUCGUAAUUGCCAUAAUUGGUGAACACAAGGUACGAUGUCGGCCGUAGGUUUCGUUGCAUGUACGUAAAGUUUCCCGUCUUGGAUUUCAUGGCGUCCCAAGAUUGAAAGAAUUCCAUGGGCAACUUACCGGCCAAUGCAUUAAUAGAGAGGUCAAGUAUCCGCAGCUU
Molecule: long non-coding RNA, 421 nt
Organism: Rhodamnia argentea
Lineage: Eukaryota; Viridiplantae; Streptophyta; Magnoliopsida; Myrtales; Myrtaceae
Exons: 2
Source: RefSeq, a predicted model, not a curated record